Molecule: long non-coding RNA, 500 nt
Filed under: Marmota monax (woodchuck)
Lineage: Eukaryota; Metazoa; Chordata; Mammalia; Rodentia; Sciuridae
Source: RNAcentral
UUUUUAAUAUAUUUUUUAGUUUGUGAUAGACCUUUAUUUAAUUUAUUUAUUUGUAUGUGGUGCUGAGAAUUGAACCCAGUGCCUCACUCAUGCCAGGCAAGUGCGCUACCACUGAGCCACAGCCACAGCUCCUCAGGAGUGGGUUUUGAUAGAGCAAGUUUGGCCCACUGUCUCUUUCUGUGCUCUUUUGCCCUACUGCUUUCUGCUAUGGGAUGUACCAAGCUCUUGCCAUCAGAUGCUGGUACUUGGGUGUUGUACUUUUGGCCUUGGGAACUGUGGCAAAUAAAUUUCUUGUCUUUAUAAAUUACCCAGACUUGGUAUUCUGUUUAGCAAUACAAGACAGACUAAGACAGUAUUACAGUAAGUAAUCUUAUCAUUCUGUAGCUUCUCUUCCCAAAGUUAUGUUUUGAGAUUAAGACCAAACUGAGCUAAUUUAUUUUUUUUUAACUUGCUGUAUAUAUUUUUUCCAUUUCCUUACUGAUGGGUUUUGGGACAUUUGG